UUUGAAAAUCUAAUUUAUCAACCAAACAUAAUAAUAACAACAUAAAAUUAAACAACACAAACAUAUUAAAAACAUAUGUGCCUAAACCAACCAAUUAUUGACAUUUUGACAGUCAUCACAAACCGUCUAGUCAAUUCCUAAAGAGAAAUUUAAAAGGACCAAAAAUAUUCUACUAAUGUUGUUGUAGAAACCCUCAUUUGAGAAAACACUCAUUGCUUGCAAAAAGUUGAAAAGCCUCUUGAAAGUAAUAAUUUAGUAACAUGCAACACUUUUCAGUUAAUUAGGUCAAACAGCUCCAAGGGAAGCUGCCAACAGCAACACCUUUUUGCAACAGUUUGCGGAAAGGUUGCAUUUGCCCCUGCACAUUUCAAGGUUCCGAAAAUUACCUUUUGGUGUUCAAAAAAUGACUCCAUCUUCAUUUCUUAUUAUAUUUUUGUACAAAUAAAUUAUUUCUAAAAACUAAUCUAUUACUUACAAAAAAUAAAUGAAGAAAACUAAUCUAUUUAAUUAUUACAUACCAUAUAAAUAAAUAAAUAUUACAACCAGUUUUUCAAUAAAUCAACACAAACAACAACACAAAGGUCAUGUGCUAGUUUAUGCACAUCAUACACAUUUAUAUACUCAAAAUUAUAUAAAACAACUCUUUGUUUCUAAGACAACUUUUAUGAUUAAAAAGAUGCAUGUAAACUUCUAGUCAUAAAAAUAACAAUUAUAAACAUUUUAAAAGUUAUAGUAGAAAAUAUGUAUAAAAUUUUCUUGUAAAGAGAAAAUCAUCCAUGUUUUCCAAACACAAAGAUUUUAUUAGCUUAACAUAAAAUCUAACAUAGCUUGCAAAAAUGGUUCUGAUACAAAUUGUUGGAUUUUUAUUUAAAAGUUGUUUCAAAAAUAUAAAUAUAGCAACAUAAGACUUUAGACUUGAACAAAAUAAAACUAAUUUUAUUCCCACCAAAAUAUCAUUUUGCAAGACUUAUAAUGAUUAAAACAACCAUAGAAAGAAAGCAUUACAACCUUUGAAGACAUUGGUUGCUUUUGGCAAUUUGGAAGUUGAUGAAGAUGGCUUUAAGCUCCAAGGAAGAAGCUCUCUAGAAAUAUCCACCAACAUUUAGC
RNAcentral lists this long non-coding RNA (1107 nucleotides) under Lactuca sativa (garden lettuce). Its description in RNAcentral is "long non-coding RNA (LSAT_LNC007978)". Lineage: Eukaryota; Viridiplantae; Streptophyta; Magnoliopsida; Asterales; Asteraceae. The record is from RNAcentral.